RNAcentral lists this RNase P RNA (322 nucleotides) under bovine gut metagenome. RNAcentral's name for it is "Bacterial RNase P class A". It matches the Rfam family "Bacterial RNase P class A". From Rfam's summary of the family: Ribonuclease P (RNase P) is a ubiquitous endoribonuclease, found in archaea, bacteria and eukarya as well as chloroplasts and mitochondria. Its best characterised activity is the generation of mature 5'-ends of tRNAs by cleaving the 5'-leader elements of precursor-tRNAs. The record is from RNAcentral.
GGAUCGCGCUUCGAAAGAAGUGAGGAAAGUCCGAGCUCCACAGGGCAGGAUGCUGGAUAACGUCCAGUAGAGGUGACUCUCAGGAAAGUGCAGCAGAAAAUAAACCGCCAUAUUUCCUAUGGUAAGGGUGAAACGGCGAGGUAAGAGCUCACCGCCUUUCUGGUGACAGAAAGGGUCAAUGUAAACCCCAUCCGGAGCAAGACCAAACAGAAGGCCAUACGGCUGCCCGUCGUGCCUUCGGGUAGGUCGCUGGAGGCUGGUGGCAACAUCAGUCCAAGAUAGAUGAUUCUCCAAUGACAGAACUCGGCUUAUCGGAAGACUC